UACGGAGGGUGCGAGCGUUAAUCGGAAUUACUGGGCGUAAAGCGCAUGCAGGUGGUGAGUUAAGUCAGAUGUGAAAGCCCGGGGCUCAACCUCGGAAUUGCAUUUGAAACUGGCUCACUAGAGUACUGUAGAGGGGGGUAGAAUUUCAGGUGUAGCGGUGAAAUGCGUAGAGAUCUGAAGGAAUACCAGUGGCGAAGGCGGCCCCCUGGACAAAGACUGACGCUCAGAUGCGAAAGCGUGGGGAGCAAACAGG
RNAcentral lists this ribosomal RNA (253 nucleotides) under uncultured bacterium. Its description in RNAcentral is "partial 16S ribosomal RNA". It matches the Rfam family "Bacterial small subunit ribosomal RNA", at positions 524 to 776 of the family's 1533-position model. The record is from RNAcentral.